UUUGGUAGAAGCUCCUUUGUUUUACGCUCUGUUUCCAGUCGAUCAGUUAACACCCACAGCAGGCAUGGAAACCUCCACAAACAGCAACAACAACAACAAUAUCACAAAGGCUAUGUAAUCCUAAAUGUCACCACCAGUAUCUUUUUCAGAUGUUUGCUCCCACACUAUUUUUGGUCCUCGCCUCCAUUGUUGUCUGGGUGAAUCACGGUCACGGAGACACCAGACAGUCAAACAUCUGUUAUCGCCACAUCCACGCUAUCAAGUAAAAUGCUUUUCAGCCGAGUCAUAACAAAAGCCACCUAUCUAUGCAGACGCACAGUAAACAUAUCAUUCAGGUUCUCUGCUCGUAAAUGAGCCUCCAACGGGUGUGACGUAACAGGAAAUGGACCCUGCCGCGCCCACCGUGACAGCCAAUCAUGAGCGCUGGCAAAGGAGCAGAAAAAAACUCUGCUGAAUAAAGACUGUUGACUCACAAAGUGAAAAUUAGUGUCUUUACCAAAGUAUAAGUUAGGGGCGAUCAGAAAGUGACCUCAGACUGAUCUCAAUAAUAAAAAAUAUGACACUUCUGACUGAACUUUGCACCAAAUUUGAGGAUGAUUCAAUCUAACUAAUUUUAACUUUAACUUUAACAGGAAUGUGAAAAAUUAUUGAGAAAAUAAUGAGGGUCAACUUUCUUGGGCUUAUUUCUGAACUUCCCUUUUUUAUCUACAGUCUUGGAGAAAGUGUUAGUUAUUCAGCUGUUUACAUUCGUAGUUAUACAUUACAUAUUUAAGUUUGGUUUCUGGUUUUCAAUCACAUCACGGCACUGAAACUUCACUUUUAAGAGCUUUUAAUGAUUUGCAUUCAACUGUUGAUUCUUGAGCCUCUUUUUUUCCGUUUAACAGCUGCUUUCGACACUGCUGAUCACAUAAUCCUCUUACUCGGUUCAAGAGUUGUUUUGGGAUUAAAGGCGCAGCAUUCAGUUUGUCCUGGUCUUACCUGACAGAUAGAACUUUCUCAGUCCAUCUGGAAGAUAUGACCUCUCUGAGACGGCCUCUUUCACAUGCGGUGUUCCUCAAGGGUCUACUCUGGGCCCACUUCUAUUUUCUCUGUAUUUCCACCUCGGGGUCGAUACAAUGUCUUAUUUCACUUCUUUGCUGAUGAUGUAGAAACAUAUUUUUACUUUAUAGCGGAAAAAAGAAGAUAAGAAAGACAAGAUUUGAGGUGAAGCCUGAAUUUUCUCUUUCUUUAAUGAGAAUUAUACUGCGUUCCAGUUGUACUCCGAAGUCAGAAUUUCCAAGCUCCGAGUCGGAAAUUCAUCUGGAACGCCCCCCUGAGGUUGGAUUUCUGACUCGGAAAGUCGGACGAGCCUCACCAGCCCCGACUUGGUGACAACGUCAUAAUCCAAGAUGGCAGCCCAGUGCAAGAGUAACAGUUUUAGCUUUUGUAAUGUUUUAUUUAUUAGCACUUCUGUUUUGUUUUUGUGCGGUCGUUACUGAAGUUGGUAUAAUUAGAGAAGCAAGCGGUCGGCAACAUUCAUCUCUCGACGGGGUGUAUAACUCGGUGUUGCGGUGUGUUUGACCCCAACUUAAUUUUACACUGGAAUAUCCCUUUAAAUGCCCUUGUAGCCGGACACACUCCUGUUUGAGUAUAGAACAGAGUAUUCCUUGUGUUCUACCUCCUACUCUGCAGUUGCUGGAUUGUAAUGGAUGCUAUUGUUGGCCUCUUGUUAUCUUGGCCUCGCCUGCUGCUGACGAAUGCCUUUCAUAAGCUUUUAUGACAUACUUAUGUGUUGAAAAAAACUCCAGGGUGAACGUCUUGUACCUUUUGUUGGGAUUUCAACAGCAUCUGGCCGCUCCAGCUCCCAAACUGUUUCUCAGAGCAGGUUGAUGAUUUGGUUCGAAGCAGCUGUCUGCAGCUGCAUCCAUCCCCAACAACCUUCUGCUUUCCCCACAACACAGCGCGUCUGUUUCGUCAGUUUUUUAGGGCGUCUCGCCUGGUUGGGAUCCUGUCAAUAGCAGGCAGUCCUCCAGGUGACACCUCCUCCACCCCCAUUUCCUCCGCUCCAUGCUGCUUUCAUCUCUGCGUCUCGGAUGCCUUGAAGACGUGACUUGGCUCAUUCGCGAAAAAUUCCUCGCUUUUGCUGUUUUCAAAACCGUGCAUUGUGUUUUACUACAGGUGCUUAAAGAUUUUUCUCCUCUCUUGUCAUGGCUCUCCAGUUUUGUUUUUUUUCUCACUCCCUCUCUGUCUCGCCACCAAAGAGCCCCGUCCUUAUCCAAUAAAAUGUCACCACACAAGAUGAACAGGAGACAGAGGCUCAGGGUGUAUCACACUUCCUAUCAGGCACUCUGUUAGGAACAGGCGGACAAAAAACUAUUCACCAAAACAGCCAUGUUGUGCUCAGUGUCACGCUCCGUCUGCUCCCAUCAGUUGGUCCCACUCUUAAGAAACCCAGUAAACAUGACAUUUUCAAGGAGGUGUAGCUUAGGCCAAACGGUUUGUUGACUGCAGUUCGGUUUUUAGGGUUUAAUUCUUUAAGAGACAGUGAUCCACGCCGUUUCAAACAUCCGGAUAAUAAUACACUUUUGAAGAAAUGGUUUCUCCACUUUAUUAAAGCCCCGUCUUAUUCUACUAUUCUCUCUUUGUAUGUUUAUCUCUACCCGUUUUCAGUGUUGAACCUUUCUUGCAGCAUUUGUUUGAGCGUUACGUUUGGAUUCUGACCACAGUUGGGUAACAUUACUUGCAGAAGUAACUCAUCACAUUAUAAGAUUCACUUGCUUGUGUGAAUUGCAAACAGUAGUGCUGAUACGUGGCCAAAAACUCAAGCCCA
Molecule: non-coding RNA, 2809 nt
Organism: Xyrichtys novacula (pearly razorfish)
Lineage: Eukaryota; Metazoa; Chordata; Actinopteri; Labriformes; Labridae
Source: the annotation of a GenBank genome assembly